UUCAGGUUAAAACCACAAGAGUUUCCGUCUACCAAAGUACAUAAAAUCGCAGUUCCCAAAAUCCAGACUCCCUUUCAUCCAAACGGGAAUUACUGGACGCUAUUCCUUCCGUCGUCCACAGCUAUCCACCACAAUGUCAGACCGCGACUGGCCUCGCGAUAGGGACCGAGAACGCGACCGCGACCGGGACCGUGAAAGAGAACGCCGACGCGACAGAGAAGACCGCGAGCGAGACCGAGACCGAGAUCGGACACGCAGCAAGAGAUCCCGUACACCAGAGCGCACCCGAUCACGUCACAUGCGCUCUCGAACACGUUCUCCCGACCGCAACCGAUAUCGUUCACGGUCCCGUUCUCACACGCGCUCCCCGGAACGCUCCUCCCACCGUCACCACCGGCACCGGCACCGAACCCCAUCGGCGGAGCCGCCAAGGAAACGGAACCGCCACGAAAGCGAGGAGAGGGACAAAGAGAAGGAUAGGCAAAAGGCGGUGUCGGAUUUUGUGGACGAGAUAGCGAAAGAGCAGCAGCAAAAGAAAGAAAAUAACAGUAACGAGAACGAGAACGGAGAUGGAGGAGAGGAGGAUGAGAUGGAGAUGAUGAAGAAGUUGGGGAUUCCAGUUGAUUUUGAUUCCACGAAAGGAAAACAUGUUCCUGGUGCUGAUGUCAGUGGAGUUAGGGCUGUGACUAAGCGGCAGCCCAGGCAGUAUAUGAAUCGAAGAGGCGGGUUUAACCGUCCAUUACCCGCUGAACGCAAUCGCUAGAAUUCGUUAAUUGAUUGAAAGCGUUUUCAAGGUUAGUCAUCUUCCUAGCAUUGGCGAUGGUCAUCCAUUUUGAGUGCUGGCAUGAAAAGCAAGGCAUAUAUUUAAUGAUACUUGAUGUCAGAAAGACGUCAAGCAGCAGUCGUCACUAAAGAUGUGAAAGUUUGGGAGUAAAGGAAAAAGAUCCGGGAUUCAGAAGUUCACUGCCUUACGCUUAUUUAAUCUCAAUCAUUUAAGAACUGGACAUGUUUUCCGGUAAUGAGUAUUGGUUUCUAUUUUCACGUCAAAUUUGUGUCUACUCAUCUUUAGAGAAUUGGAGGAGAACGUAAUUUAUAGAGAGGUGCUUUCUUUUGCAGAGGCCAUAUUUUAUAUGGAAAUCAUCUUCAAAAAUUCUGGUUCCCUAUACAUACAAGAAGGCAUCUUGGAAAAUUCUGGUUCCUCAAAGUCUUACCAUACUGAUGAAUAUUGUUUGCGUAUAAAAUUGUUGUAUUUUAAUGAUUAUAGUUUCUAUUUUCUGCAGAUGGCUAGUGGCCUUUUAGCCAGUUGAAUCAGGGGUGACAAUCAAAAUAAAAUCAUCUUACUAUGCAUGCCAACCGAUUUCAACUGCUGGAUUUGGAUGUGGUAUCUUUGAAUGCCCAGAACCAUUUUCCUGCAUUUGGUGUGGCUUUCUUGUUUUCUUCCACCCCUGUUUCAGCUCAGUGUUUAAGCAGGCUAUACAGAAAAGAAGACACUAAAAAGUUGAAGGCAGUAACUGGGCAAAAAACAUUUGCAGCUGGGAUCUUGAAUCAGAACAAGGAGGUUUCAUGAAUAGUGAAGGAGCAAAACAGUACUCUGCAGCCAUUCUGUUUGAGCAUAGACGCUGGAUUGAGAAAUGUUUAUCCAGAGAUGCAAGUGGCAGAGGACUGUAAUUGCAAUUUUUUACACGUGAGUGAUCAAAAUAAAAUUAUCGGUUUGUGGAAAUUGAAAAAAGUUGCUAUUUUUUAUUACUGAAGCUGGAAGUGGAACAUAUAUUGU
Theobroma umbraticum is the source of this 1774-nucleotide non-coding RNA. The record is from RefSeq and is a predicted model, not a curated record. Lineage: Eukaryota; Viridiplantae; Streptophyta; Magnoliopsida; Malvales; Malvaceae.